RNAcentral lists this ribosomal RNA (406 nucleotides) under uncultured bacterium. RNAcentral describes it as "partial 16S ribosomal RNA". It matches the Rfam family "Bacterial small subunit ribosomal RNA", at positions 30 to 526 of the family's 1533-position model. The record is from RNAcentral.
AUUGAACGCUGGCGGCAGGCCUAACACAUGCAAGUCGAACGAGUGGCGGACGGGUGAGUAAUGUCUGGGAAACUGCCCGAUGGAGGGGGAUAACUACUGGAAACGGUAGCCAAUACCGCCUUCUAUAUGAUGUGCCCAGAUGGGAUUAGCUUGUUGGUGGGGUAACGGCUCACCAGGGCGACAAUCCCUAGCUGGUCUGAGAGGAAGACCAGCCACACUGGAACUGGGACACGUUCCAGACUCCUACGGGAGGCAGCGGUGGGGAAUAUUGCACAAUGGGCGCAAGCCUGAUGCAGCCAUGCCGCGUGUAUGAAGAAGGCCUUCGGGUUGUAAAGUACUUUCAGCGGGGAGGCGUUACCCGCAGAAGAAGCACCGGCUAACUCCGUGCCAGCAGCCGCGGUAAUAC